CAGGUGUCCUGGAGCAUGUUGGAGCAUGUUGGAGUGUGUUCAGGUGCCUUGGAGCGUGUUGGAGUGUCCUGGAGCAUGUUGGAGUGUGUUGGAGCAUGUUCAGGUGUCCUGAAGCGUGUUGGAGCGUGUUGGAGCACACUGAGAUGUGUUGAAAUGCCUCAAAGCAUGUUGGAGCAUGUUCAGGUGUCUUGGAGCAUGUUGGAGCAUGUUGGAGCAUGUUGAGGUAUGCUGAGAUGUCUCAAAGCAUGUUGGAGCGUGUUGGAGCAUGUUCAGGUGUCCUGGAGCGUGUUGAAGCAUGUUGAUGUGUCUUGAAGCGUGUUGAGGUGUCUCAAAGCGUGUCGAAGCGUGUUCCGGCACACCGAAGCACCUCGACACGCGUGUUGAGCCGUGCCGAACCACGCCGCGCCGCGCCGCGGCACGUGGAAGCCUGCUGGCGCGUGCUGAAGCGUGUCGAGGCGUGUUGAAGCGUGUCGAGGCGUGAACGGACCCAGACGCCUCACCUGGACGCGCCCCAUCUCCAGCACACGCGUGACGCAGCCACCCAGAGCCACAUAGACACGUGUCGAGGCGUGUUCAAGCGUGUUGAGGCGUGUUCAAGCAUGUCGAGGCGUGUUCAAGCGUGACGAGGCGUGUUCAAGCGUGUUCAGGCAGGGCCGGGCAGCGGGUGGCUCACGCGGACGCAGCCCCAGUAGCCGGCGCGGAUCAGGCAGGCGGCGGCAGCUGCCACCAGCAAGGCCCAACCGGCGUGGAGACCCCCGAACCGGCGGGCAGCUGCCCACGUGCCGACCUGCGGGACAGGACGCCUGGGUCCCUGCUGCCCGGACGCCUGGGCCCCUUCACCCGGACGCCUGGGUCCCUUUCCACGGACACCUGGGCCCCUUCCCCGGACGCCUGGGCCCCUUCCCAGACGCCUGGGCCCCUUUCCCAGGACGCCUGGGCCCUUCUUGUCCUGGAUGCCUGGGUCCCUCUUGUCCUGGAUGCCUGGGUCCCUCUUGUCCCGGACGCCUGGGCCCUUCUUGUCCUGGAUGCCUGGGCCCCUCUUGUCCUGGAUGCCUGGGUCCC
This 1062-nucleotide long non-coding RNA is filed under the name Apteryx haastii (Great spotted kiwi). RNAcentral describes it as "lncRNA (ENSAHAG00000016336.1)". Lineage: Eukaryota; Metazoa; Chordata; Aves; Apterygiformes; Apterygidae. The record is from RNAcentral.